RNAcentral lists this ribosomal RNA (501 nucleotides) under uncultured bacterium. Its description in RNAcentral is "partial 16S ribosomal RNA". It matches the Rfam family "Bacterial small subunit ribosomal RNA", at positions 28 to 507 of the family's 1533-position model. The record is from RNAcentral.
GACGAACGCUGGCGGCGUGCCUAAUACAUGCAAGUCGGGCGGACCGACCGCGGGCUUGCUCUUGUUUGGUCAGCGGCGGACGGGUGAGUAACACGUGGGCAACCUGCCCGCAAGACCGGGAUAACUCCGGGAAACCGGAGCUAAUACCGGAUAACACCGAAGACCGCAUGGUCUUCGGGUGAAAUGCGGCCGUUGGGCUGUCACUUGCGGAUGGGCCCGCGGCGCAUUGGUUAGUUGGUGAGGUCACGGCUGACCAAGGCGACGAUGGGGAGACGGCCUGAGAGGGUGGCCGGCCACACUGGGAGUGAGACACGGCGCAGACUCCUACGGGGGGCAGCCGUCGGGAAUCCUCCGCGAGGGGCGAGAGCCUGACGGUGCGACGCCGCGUGAGGGCAGACGGCCCUCGGGUCGUAAAGCGCUGUCGUGAGGGACGAAGGAGCGCCGUUCGAAGAGGGCGGCGUAGUGACGGUACCUGAAGAGAAAGCCCCGGCUAACUACGUG